This 433-nucleotide ribosomal RNA is filed under the name uncultured bacterium. Its description in RNAcentral is "partial 16S ribosomal RNA". It matches the Rfam family "Bacterial small subunit ribosomal RNA", at positions 29 to 507 of the family's 1533-position model. The record is from RNAcentral.
AACGAACGCUGGCGGCAUGCCUAACACAUGCAAGUCGAACGAGACCUUCGGGUCUAGUGGCGCACGGGUGCGUAACGCGUGGGAACCUGCCCUUAGGUUCGGAAUAACUCCCCGAAAGGGGUGCUAAUACCGGAUAAUGUCUUCGGACCAAAGAUUUAUCGCCUUUGGAUGGGCCCGCGUUGGAUUAGCUAGUUGGUAGGGUAAAAGCCUACCAAGGCGACGAUCCAUAGCUGGUCUGAGAGGAUGAUCAGCCACACUGGGACUGAGACACGGCCGAGACUCCUACGGGAGGCAGCAAUGGGGAAUAUUGGACAAUGGGCGAAAGCCUGAUCCAGCAAUGCCGCGUGAGUGAUGAAGGCCUUAGGGUUGUAAAGCUCUUUUACCCGGGAUGAUAAUGACAGUACCGGGAGAAUAAGCUCCGGCUAACUCCGUG